CCGUCCGGUAAAGCGAACGACUGGAGGCUUCGGGGACGCUGGCGGCUUCGAUUUACUCUCGAACUCGGAACGGGCGAAACGGGCCGCUCCUCUCCCGAUUGGAGGCGGUCGAAUAUCGCAGCCAUUGCGACGCGACGAAUGCACGGUGUCAAGUGGGCCACUUUUGGUAAGCAGAACUGGUGAUGUGGGAUGAACCGAACGUCCGGCUAAGGUGCCCUACGCUUCGUCCAUCCGGAAUCCGCUUAGGUGUGUGUAACAACUUACCUGCUGAAGCAAUCGGCCCCGAAAAUGGAUGGCGCUAGAGCAAGCGACCGAUGCCGGACCGGCCAGGCGACAGGUUCCACGAUCGCCGGCGAGGUGACAUUCCGAUACCCGGUCGAGUAGGAGGGGACCAUGUAGUAUAUAGGUGAUCCUGAUUAGGAGGUGUGGGCCUCCCUGCUAGUGUGGGUAGACUGCCGAUGGUCUGCCUUCGAGUUGUCCCGAGCCGGCUAAUUAGAUGCCAACCGGUUAGCUCUGCUUUUAUUAGGGUAUAGUGUCGCGUAGGUUCCCAACGGGACUGUAGCACUUCACUGAAUCGAUCUUUCGAUACCUUACAACACAGGAGGGGGUUCUUGGGUUGUAUAGGAGGUUCGAGUUUAGGUGUUAUUGUUUUGUCUUGUUUGGGUGGUUCUUGGCAUGUCGGACGGUUCCUUCUUUAGGGAUCGGUGGAUGCAAUCGGGCCCGGUUGGCAAUGCCUGGUACGUUAUGACCCAUGUUUGUGGUGAGUGGAGGCCCGGUGCGUUAUGACCUGCUGCUUUUUGCAGCAGGUGGAUGCACCACCGGGUUUGACAGGUAUGUUAUGACCUGCCUGUCUCAGUGAGGCCCGGUGUGUUAUGACAUGCAUUUUGCAGCAGGUGGAUGCACCACCGGGUUUUACCGUGACGCCUUUUUGGCGUCUGGUGUGAUAAAACUCGCUGUUUCGGGUGGGUGGAUGCACUGCCAGACUUUGCUCUAUCAGGCCUCACUACUAGCAACGGGUAGAUGCACUACCAGGCGGAACCUUCCGUGGCAUGCACUUUGGUGUUAGUUGGUUGGCCGGAGGGUACUCUAGAUGGUUGGGGAGGUUUUAGUUUGCCUAUCCUGGGGGGUCGGUUCCGCACCUUCUUUAAGUUCAACUUAAUCGCUUCAGCCAUGUACUCAUGGAAAUAGCCGCUCAGUAGUAAUGACAAACGAUAAGUAACUAAACAUACGGCAACCACAAUAAUAACAAGAGCAUCCCGAUGAGCGUGUAGAUUCGGGUUGAGUGGCCCUGACAACUAUAAUACACCGGCGUCUUGGUACAGAUAACCUUUCCACUGCGGCUAUGCUCUCCGGUCGUACUGGCGGGGAAGCUCUACUCCUUGACGGAUGGCACCGUCCACCUUAAUACACCGGCACCCUGGGAUCCCCUUCGUCCAAGUUAGGUUUGCACGGGCGUUGGGAUCAGGUCUUGGGUAAGUGGCUGCGGUCACCGAAAGUAGGGGUCCUGAUGCGCGGCCAAUUUGCCCCGGGUCCGCCGUUGCGGUCCCCUGCUGCGCUUGAGUGGGGUCUUCCUGUACACGGGAGCGGCUUGCGUCGGUGAACUUCGAGCUUUGACCGACCCCUCUUGUUGCCCCACGCCGGCCGCUGUCGCCGGCGGCGCUGAGCGCUUUCGGUUGUCGCGGCGUUUCUUCGCCGCCUCGGUCGUCCGGUGUGCCGUGUUGUCGCGUUGGGGUGUCGCGCGCGUUGGCGACGAUGAAAAACCGCAACUUCCGUAGUUUCCUCGCUCACUCGAUGGAGAAGGGAUCGGGCGUCGCCGAACGGUGGUUCAUUAUUUGGUGCGAAGCGCGCAGUGCAUGUCGAGCGCCUUUGCGGGCGCUGACGCAGCCGAUGCGUGACCCUUUGUCGAGAACAGUGUCGGUCGUGGAGUUUGACUGGGACGGUACGUCUGUCAGACGGUAAUGCAGGUGUCCCAAGAUGAGCUCAGCGUGGACGGAAACCAUACGUCGAGCAAAAGGACAAAGCUCGCUCGAUCACGAUUUUCAGUACGAAUACGGACCACGAAAGCGUGGCCCAUCGAUCCUUUCCGAACAGCGGCGAGGUAUGCGUCCGCCGAGAGGUGUCAGAAAAGUUACCACAAAGAUAGCUGGCUUGUGACGGCUAAGCGUUUGUAGAGACGUUACUUUUUGAUCCUUCGAUGUCGGCUCUUCCUAUCAUUGCGAAGCAGAAUUCGCAAGCGUCGAAUUGUUCGCCCACUAACAGGGAACGUGAGCUGGGCUUAGACCGUCGUGAGACAGGUUAGUAUCCUCCUAUCGAUGCAUCGCGGGUACGCGGCGCCCAGAGUCGCAUCGGGAGUUUGGUGCGCGGCGGCGGCGGGGCGCUAGCGCGUCGUCCAUCGCUGCCGCCGACGCUUCCGCCGACCUGAGGCGGGCACCAGCAACAUCAACUCGGCUACGGCUAUUCCGUUCAGGACGAGGAACCACUUUGCGCGCUCGCUCGAUAGAGCGGUGGUGCCAGGCUGCUUCUGAGCGAUAACGGCUCGACGCCUCUAAGCCGGAACCGAGUUGCUUUCCAAAAGUGUCUAAACCUCAAGGCGCAUGCCUUAGCUCGGCGUUCGCCGUCCGCCCGUCGUGUUCACGCAGCGAGCGGUUGCAUCGCCGGCGGAAUUGCUAUUUUGGGACAUCGGCGGCGGCGGCGGUCCCGCCGUCGUCGUCGACGUUCCGCCCGACUUGUUCAAAAAGAGAUCGAGACGAAAAGGAUCGCUUGCAUACGACUCGACUUGCCGUUCGGAGUUACGUUCUUAGUAGAGCAGCUACCACACUGCGAUGUAUUGAGUCUCUUCUCACGAACGACACAAUCCGC
Non-coding RNA from Octopus bimaculoides (California two-spot octopus), 2859 nucleotides. Lineage: Eukaryota; Metazoa; Mollusca; Cephalopoda; Octopoda; Octopodidae. The record is from Rfam.